This 723-nucleotide ribosomal RNA is filed under the name uncultured bacterium. RNAcentral's name for it is "bacterial SSU rRNA". It matches the Rfam family "Bacterial small subunit ribosomal RNA", at positions 62 to 817 of the family's 1533-position model. The record is from RNAcentral.
UCGAGCGAGAAAGGGGAGCAAUCCCUGAGUAGAGCGGCGUACGGGUGAGUAACACGUGGAUCAUUUACCUUUUAGUGGGGAAUAACCCUGGGAAACCGAGGCUAAUACCGCAUAAUCCUGAGAAGGGAAAGCAGCAAUGCGCUGAAAGAGGAGUCCGCGGCCGAUUAGCUAGUUGGUGAGGUAACGGCCCACCAAGGCGACGAUCGGUAGCCGGCCUGAGAGGGCACACGGCCACACUGGCACUGAAACACGGGCCAGACUCCUACGGGAGGCAGCAGUGGGGAAUCUUGCACAAUGGAGGAAACUCUGAUGCAGCGACGCCGCGUGAGCGAUGAAGCCCCUCGGGGUGUAAAGCUCUUUCGACGGGAACGAUAAUGACGGUACCCGGAGAAGAAGCUGCGGCUAACUACGUGCCAGCAGCCGCGGUAAUACGUAGGCAGCGAGCGUUGUUCGGAAUUACUGGGCGUAAAGAGUGUGUAGGCGGUGCCCUAAGUUCGGUGUGAAAUCUCCUGGCUCAACUGGGAGGGUGCGCCGGANACUGGGGUGCUCGAGCGUGGGAGAGGAAAGCGGAAUUCCUGGUGUAGCGGUGAAAUGCGUAGAUAUCAGGAGGAACACCUGCGGUGUAGACAGCUUUCUGGACCAUAGCUGACGCUGAGACACGAAAGCGUGGGUAGCAAACAGGAUUAGAUACCCUGGUAGUCCACGCCCUAAACGAUGCAUACU